GACGAACGCUGGCGGCGUGCUUAACACAUGCAAGUCGAACGGAAAGGCCCUGCUUUUGUGGGGUGCUCGAGUGGCGAACGGGUGAGUAACACGUGAGUAACCUGCCCUUGACUUUGGGAUAACUUCAGGAAACUGGGGCUAAUACCGGAUAGGAGCUCCUGCUGCAUGGUGGGGGUUGGAAAGUUUCGGCGGUUGGGGAUGGACUCGCGGCUUAUCAGCUUGUUGGUGGGGUAGUGGCUUACCAAGGCUUUGACGGGUAGCCGGCCUGAGAGGGUGACCGGCCACAUUGGGACUGAGAUACGGCCCAGACUCCUACGGGAGGCAGCAGUGGGGAAUAUUGCACAAUGGGCGGAAGCCUGAUGCAGCAACGCCGCGUGCGGGAUGACGGCCUUCGGGUUGUAAACCGCGUUCGCCUGUGACGAAGCGUGAGUGACGGUAAUGGGUAAAGAAGCACCGGAUAACUACGUG
RNAcentral lists this ribosomal RNA (468 nucleotides) under uncultured bacterium. RNAcentral describes it as "partial 16S ribosomal RNA". It matches the Rfam family "Bacterial small subunit ribosomal RNA", at positions 28 to 507 of the family's 1533-position model. The record is from RNAcentral.